AUGGUGGCUUGGACCACAGCCAGUUCUCCCUACCUCCCCCAGCAGAAGCCGGUGCCAUGGGACUUACUAAGGCUGCAGAGUGAACGUUACACCUGCAGCCUGCCUGGAAGGAAGGAGGGACAGAGGCGAGCCCCUUGGCCCCCAGCCGCUCCAGAAUGCGGUAAACAAGUCCAGGCACUCCCCUCCGAGUCAUGUGAAAUUCUUCAGGCCCCAGAAAUCCAGAAGGUCCCUCCCACAGAGCAUCCUAGGGCCCUGGAAAGGGAACCCCCACAGGGCCAAGUCCUCUUUUCCUGCGUGAGCCCCUCCUCUAGAGCCCAGCGCUGUGGAGGAAGGAGAACCCUGUUUCUGGGAGCCCCAAGUGGAGGAGAAAGCAGUGGUCCCUGA
Molecule: long non-coding RNA, 384 nt
Filed under: Ursus thibetanus thibetanus
Lineage: Eukaryota; Metazoa; Chordata; Mammalia; Carnivora; Ursidae
Description: lncRNA (ENSUTTG00000016398.1)
Source: RNAcentral